Molecule: long non-coding RNA, 3696 nt
Filed under: Equus caballus (horse)
Lineage: Eukaryota; Metazoa; Chordata; Mammalia; Perissodactyla; Equidae
Description: lncRNA (ENSECAG00000047796.1)
Source: RNAcentral
CUUGGGACCCGCUUGCUCCUGGGCCCAGGAUAUAAGCUUAACCUCGCAGGGCUGGCCUCACCAACAGGGCCACGGCAGCAGAGACAAGCGCUGAUCUACCAGGCACUCUGGAUACAGAAACUGAGAACCGUGUUCUGUGCCCGGUGCCACGUUUCAAGAGGGACAUUAACCUAGAAUUUAUAGACACUCUGUGUGCAGACAAGCGUCCCCAACAUCAGAGUGCUCUGAUAAUAGAGCGGGCUGCUUUGCGAGGUGGCAAGCCUGCGCUUUGGAAGCGCCCAGGCGAGCGGGUGCCUUCUGUCAGCAGGGCUGGGACCGCUGUGAGGGGUUGGGAGCCAGACCAGAAGAUCUUUAAAGGCCAUUCCAAAUCCCAGUGAGCGGGGUCUGGGUCUCACUACCUUGUUAAUCUCCUGUGUUUGAAUCAAGUGGGUCAGGCCUUGCAGGGCGGCUGUGAACUUUGUUAGAGGGGAGAGCUGGAAGGGGCCGUUGAGAUGGGCUCUGCCGACCUGCUGGGCCCCGGGGAGCAAACAGGAGGCCAGGCUGGCUAAGGGGUGGCCCAAGGCCAGAGCCAACUCACGGGAUGAAUAUUUGAUGAAAGAAGGAAGGAAGAAAUGACAGCUCCACGAUGGGAACCAACCUGAUGCUAAUCAGGCAUCCCUUAGCCCACCUCUCUUUCCUUCCUAAGACUUUCCUAUCAAGAUUAUGAUUCGACCCGCAUUUACUGAGCACCCACUGUAUGCCCAGUGUGUUCACAGAGAUUGUUUCAGGUAAUCCACCCUAACCCAUCAGAUGAAUGUCAUCGCCCCCAUUUCUCAGAUGAGGACAGUUGGGUAACUCCCCCAGAGGGCACAGAACUUGUGGAGAUGUCACAAACACUAAAUGACAACGAAGGUCUGGCUAACUCCGAGGACAGCGUGCAUCUCCACCUGCUGCCUCUCGGCUGGAGCGAGGCAGCCUUGUCCUCUGUGUCCUUCCUAAAGACAAGCUGCCGGGGACUUGCCCAGUCCUCAGGGGCUGUUUCAGCCCUCCUGGCCCCUGUCCUGGCUCCCAUCGGGCUCCCGUGCCUCUCUCUGAUGGGACAAGACAGAGCGACUGUUUCCACACCAGCAGAUGUUCUGGGCCAAGGAAGAAAAGAUGCUAAUCGAAAUCAGCUUCAGCUAAUUGUAGCAAUUUCCCUUCUGCAUGUUGCCCUGAAAUAGUAGCCGCGCUCUGUUCGUUUUCCACAUCAGGGAGCCCCAAAUUGGCAGCGUAAAUGAGGUUGCAACGAAGUCAGUUAAACAGGCCUCUUUGCUGCCGGUUGCCAUGGAUGAGGCCUUGAACGUUCUCUGGGUAAGACCUUGGCUCAACUGUUCAUGGACUUGGCAUCUUUCUUGCUCCCUGUGGAUAAUUUGGACCCACUGUUGGGCUGGAAGAGCCCCUCUUAAUCCUGGGGAAAACCGGAACCUCAAGUGAUUUAAUGACUACCAAGCCCAGGAGCACACGGUCUGACCUUGAACCCUGGUUGACUUCUGAUUUGUCCUCUAGCCAGGGCUGGCCAAUAGAACUUUCUGCGUGGACAGAAGUGUUCUCAUUGACACUGCCCUGUACGGUAGCGGUUGAGUGCUUGAAAUGUGGCUAAUGGGACUGAGGGACUGGAUUUUCAGUUUUUACUUUAUUUUAUUGUAAGUUUAACUUUAGUGUAAAAUGGCCUGUGUGGCUAGUGGCCCCUGAACUGGAUAGUGUGGCCGCAGCCUGCCAACUUUUGUGCUGUCAUCUCCUGACCUCGUCCCCCUCCCCCAGCUUUCCCGCUCCCUCAGCAUCCACACCAGCCACCUGGGCCUCAUGCAAGCCAGGCUGUUCCCUCCUCGGGGUGUUGGCGCUUGCUAUUCCCUCUGCCAGCGUCCCCCUUCCUCUGGUCAUCUCCCAGUCUGCCCCUGUGUCACAUCAGGGCCUCAGAUCAAGUGUGUUUUGUCGGAGAGACCAUCCCUGCGUUGUCAGACAUUGUCCCCACCCCACUCCAAGUUGCUUCGUAUCUCUCUGAAAUCAUUGUGUAUUUUAGUUCAGGCUGCCAUAACAACGUGCCAUCAACUGGGUGGCAGGAAUUUACUUCCCGCGGUUCUGGAGGCCGGAAGUCUGAGAUCAGGGUGCCCACGUGGGCGGCUUCUGGGGAGGGUCUGCUUUCACGUUGCAGGUGGCCGUUUUCUCCUUGCCCUUCACGUGGUGGGGAGAGAGAGUGCUGGCUGGAGUCCCUUUUGUAAGGGCACUAAUCCCACUCACGAGGGCUCCACCCUAAUCACCUAACCAUCUAAUCACCUCCUAAUGCCACCACACGGGGGGUCAGGGUUUCAACACAGGAAUCUGGGGACGCAAGCAUUCAGUCCGGUGCAUUGUGUUUGUGUUUUCCUGUCUGUUGCUGUCUCCCUGGACAAGAGCUUCAGUUCCACAAGAGCAGGGGCAUGGUCCAUCCUCGUCACUGCUCCACCCUGGGCCUGGAACAGUGCCUGGAACAGCACGUGGCAGGCGGAGAGUGCUCAGCACAGUGUCUCGAGCGGGCUCUCAGGCACAGGUGAUGACAAAGAUGCUCACCAGCAGUUCUGCACUCAUAUCCUACCAGCCGAGCAAUCCUUGCAGAGAAAGACAGCAUUUUUUACCAGUAAUUCCAACAGAAGUCCCAGAUUUGGCCUGGGCUAGAGUGGAGUUGUUGGGAAAUAUGAGUGCUGAAGCAGCCAUUUCAUCACCAUGAGUGGGACUAACCGAGACUGAAGCCGACACGAGGAGGAAAAGUUGAAAGAAUCAGAAAUGGAAGAUGGAUCACGUGUCUCCCAGGCUGAGAGCCUUCCUCUCUGAACCCAUUGGAGAAAAGGAUGUUGUCUGGGUCGAUGGGAUCAGCCAUGAGCUUGCAAUCAAUUUGGUCACCAAAGGUUUCAACAAGGGGUCAACAGAAAUCAGCCAGCCCCCCAAGUCUGCUGAGCUGGCAGGAUGGAUGAUUUGAACACACUCUCCACCCCCAUGAAGAGACUCUCGUCCUGUCAGGGCACCAGCCUGGCAAUGGCAGGUGGAGUAACAGCAGCCUGGGGUCUGCGCCAGAGUAGAGGGAUGUGCAUUGUUCUAAGAUGUCACUCCAGUCCAAGAAGGAACUCAAGGAUAUCCAGCGGAGUUGGAGCAUUCUUUUCUAUGUAAUCAUUUGUUUUUAUGGUGCUGUCAUAAAGCUGCUUGAAAUUUUAGGAGAGAAUGGGAGAUGCUCCCAAAGAGAACGCUAGAAAGUGAACACAUACAGAGACAAUGGGAAUUCACACAGAGCGUUGCAUGCUCCGUUGAGAGAGGUGCCUGCAACAGAGCUGUUACUGUUCAUUGCCUUCAGUUUUUCAAGUCAGUCUACACUGCUGUGCAGGAAGAUGUUUCGGAAACACCCAGAGAGUCUGGGAACCGCUGCACGCGCGGCUGAGGAUCAGCUUGGUUUGCAGGGGCACAGAGCAGGCUGUUUCCAGGGGGCAUGUGAACCACUGGGCCUAUGGUUUUCUGAUUGACACGCUGCUCUGCACCAGUUGUUAAAUAUUCUGAAUGUCAUUCCAAUCUGCUGGCCAAUUUACUAUCCAGUAGGUGGUAUUGUCAGGAAGCUGGAGCUCCACGACUAAGGUCGACUUCCUUCUUUCCUCCGCAUGAGGCAGAUAGGACCACUCCCGAGCAGGUGGUGAAGUAGACAAGUCUGCAUAGGGG